AUUGAACGCUGGCGGCAGGCCUAACACAUGCAAGUCGAACGAGUGGCGGACGGGUGAGUAAUGUCUGGGAAACUGCCUGAUGGAGGGGGAUAACUACUGGAAACGGUAGCUAAUAACGCAUACCAUCAGAUGUGCCCAGAUUGGAUUAGCUUGUUGGGGGGGUAACGGCUCACCAAGGAGACGAUCCCUAGCUGUUCUGAGAGGAUGACCAGCCACCCUGGAACUGAUCCACGGUCCAGACUCCUACGGGAGGCAGGAGUGGGGAAUAUUGCACAAUGGGAGCAAGCCUGAUGCAGCCAUGCCGCGUGUAUUAAGAAGGCCUUCGGGUUGUAAAGUACUUGCAGCGGGGAGGCGUUACCCGCAGAAGAAGCACCGGCUAACUCCGUGCCAGCAGCGGCGGUAAUAC
Molecule: ribosomal RNA, 406 nt
Filed under: uncultured bacterium
Lineage: Bacteria
Description: partial 16S ribosomal RNA
Rfam family: Bacterial small subunit ribosomal RNA
Source: RNAcentral